UACGUAGGGGGGCUAGCGUUGUCCGGAUUUAUUGGGCGUAAAGAGCGUGUAGGCGGCCAAGUAGGUCCGGUGUGAAAACUCGAGGCUUAACCUCGAGAUGUCAUCGGAAACCAUUUGGCUAGAGUCCGGAAGAGGAAAGUGGAAUUCCUGGUGUAGCGGUGAAAUGCGCAGAUAUCAGGAAGAACACCAAUGGCGAAAGCAGCUUCUG
This 208-nucleotide ribosomal RNA is filed under the name uncultured bacterium. RNAcentral's name for it is "partial 16S ribosomal RNA". It matches the Rfam family "Bacterial small subunit ribosomal RNA", at positions 524 to 731 of the family's 1533-position model. The record is from RNAcentral.